GAAUGAUUAACAAAGGCGUCCGAAGAAAUCGUUGUUGGAAGGUGGCCAAGCUGGAAAGAGACGUUGCUUUGGCCCUGCAAAUGCAGCCCAUUAUUCACUUGUUGGUGAUGGAGGAGACUAAAUUAGCGUCUUCUGUGGUGCCAGAAGCUUCCUUUUGGAGUAGUGUAUUGUAUGGGUCCAUUCCCUUUCAUGCAGCCAUUAUAACCUACAUCUCCAGUCCAGACACAUCAUCAUCAGUAGGAACACCACUUUCACAUGCCAUGGAGCACAUCAAGGCCACCCCACUGGAACCAUCGGCCCUCAGAGUCUGCAAAGCCAGCACUCCAGCUCUGUAGCAUAGCCUUGAAGCCAUAUGCUCACGACAAGCAGCACUUCUGGGAACACGCUGCAGAGACAGCUUGAGUUCUUCCUUAAUUUCUUCUCAGUAGGGUUUAUAGUUUUCUAUGUACAGGUUGUGUACUUUUUCUUUGUGUGAAUUUAUUUCUAUUUGAAACUUCAGAUGCUGUGGAAAUUGUAUCUUUUUUAAAAAUGUUCUGUUUAUUGUUGGUAUGUAGAAAUAUAACUGAUUUGCAUAUUAGUCCUUUAUCCAGCAACCUUCUUAAAUUCACUUUCUAAUUCUAAUAAUUUAUCUGUAGAUUGUUUUGGAUUUUCUAUGUAUGUAACUAUAUCAUUUGUAAGUAAUGACAGCUUAUUUCUUCCUCUUCCUCACUCUGACGUUCCAAAAUGUCUCCUCUUUUCUAUAAGUACUUUAAAAAUAAUGAUUAAAUAAUUUAUUUAUCUGGAGUUUAUUUUGAGCACUGAGUAUGAAGUACAGCUCUAAGCUAACUUUUUUCCCAGAUGGAUAUCCUGAUUUUUGUGUAACAGUUAUUAAAUAAGCCAUCUUUCCUCAAUAAUUUGAAAUGAUACCAUUAUAAUAGAUUAAAUUCCUAUGUGUAUUUAAGUUCAAUUUUUUUUUUUUUUUUUUUUGAGACGGAGUCUCGCUCUGUCCCCCAGGCUGGAGUGCAGUGGUGCGAUCUCUGCUCACUGCAAGCUCCGCCUCCCAGGUUCACACCAGUCUCCUGCCUCAGCCUCCUGAGUAGCUGGGACUACAGGCGCCCGCCACCACGCCUGGCUAAUUUUUUGUAUUUUUAGUAGAGACGGGAUUUCACUGUGGUCUCGAUCUCCUGACCUUGUGAUCCGCCCGCCUCGGCCUCCCAAAGUGCUGGGAUUACAGGCGUGAGCCACCGCGCCCGGCCUUGAUUUCGUUUUUGUGGGUUUUUGUUUUUUUUUGGAUCACUGAACUUUUU
This 1286-nucleotide long non-coding RNA is filed under the name Piliocolobus tephrosceles (Ugandan red Colobus). RNAcentral's name for it is "lncRNA (ENSPTEG00000034228.1)". The record is from RNAcentral. Lineage: Eukaryota; Metazoa; Chordata; Mammalia; Primates; Cercopithecidae.